Molecule: long non-coding RNA, 404 nt
Organism: Pan troglodytes (chimpanzee)
Lineage: Eukaryota; Metazoa; Chordata; Mammalia; Primates; Hominidae
Exons: 2
Source: RefSeq, a predicted model, not a curated record
AGUUCCUUGGGUUACAAGAGGCUGGAGCUGGCUCCUGGCCAGUGGAGACCUCUUCUAUGAUUCCAGUCUCUGUCAUCAAAAGUCAUUACUUUUUGUACAAACACAGCACCCCUGCCCUACCCAGCCCUCCCUGGAAGCAUUGCAGGAUUCCUGGGAGCACAGUUUGCUAACUCCAGCCCUGGGAACUCUACAGACUCGGAGAUAGUUUCUACAAGAUGGUGCUGAUCUGAUGCACAGAGAAGGGGAGGGGAGAUGAAGGCCUGGAGGAUGAUGGGCUGAACUUGGGCUGGCAUCAAAUCUUUGAAACCUGAGGGGGCCAGAGACCUGGAAGCAUGUGCUGUGUGUCUUCUUAGGAUAAACAUCUUUUGGCAACUUGUAAGGUAAGGCUUCCCUUGGAAUAUCAA